RNAcentral lists this ribosomal RNA (1382 nucleotides) under Campylobacter jejuni. Its description in RNAcentral is "partial 23S ribosomal RNA". It matches the Rfam family "Bacterial large subunit ribosomal RNA", at positions 98 to 1508 of the family's 2925-position model. The record is from RNAcentral. Lineage: Bacteria; Pseudomonadati; Campylobacterota; Epsilonproteobacteria; Campylobacterales; Campylobacteraceae.
UUUGAUCCGUAGAUUUCCGAAUGGGGCAACCCAAUGUAUAGAGAUAUACAUUACCUAUAUAGGAGCGAACGAGGGGAAUUGAAACAUCUUAGUACCCUCAGGAAAAGAAAUCAAUAGAGAUUGCGUCAGUAGCGGCGAGCGAAAGCGCAAGAGGGCAAACCCAGUGCUUGCACUGGGGGUUGUAGGACUGCAAUGUGCAAGAGGUAAGUUUAGCAGAACAUUCUGGAAAGUAUAACCAUAGAGGGUGAUAGUCCCGUAUGCGAAAAACAAACCUUAGCUAGCAGUAUCCUGAGUAGGGCGGGACACGAGGAAUCCUGUCUGAAUCUGGGUCGACCACGAUCCAACCCUAAAUACUAAUACCAGAUCGAUAGUGCACAAGUACCGUGAGGGAAAGGUGAAAAGAACUGAGGUGAUCAGAGUGAAAUAGAACCUGAAACCAUUUGCUUACAAUCAUUCAGAGCCCUAUGUAGGAAUACAGGGUGAUGGACUGCCUUUUGCAUAAUGAGCCUGCGAGUUGUGGUGUCUGGCAAGGUUAAGCAAACGCGAAGCCGUAGCGAAAGCGAGUCUGAAUAGGGCGCUUAGUCAGAUGCUGCAGACCCGAAACGAAGUGAUCUAUCCAUGAGCAAGUUGAAGCUAGUGUAAGAACUAGUGGAGGACUGAACCCAUAGGCGUUGAAAAGCCCCGGGAUGACUUGUGGAUAGGGGUGAAAGGCCAAUCAAACUUCGUGAUAGCUGGUUCUCUCCGAAAUAUAUUUAGGUAUAGCGUUGUGUCGUAAUAUAAGGGGGUAGAGCACUGAAUGGGCUAGGGCAUACACCAAUGUACCAAACCCUAUCAAACUCCGAAUACCUUAUAUGUAAUCACAGCAGUCAGGCGGCGAGUGAUAAAAUCCGUCGUCAAGAGGGAAACAACCCAGACUACCAGCUAAGGUCCCUAAAUCUUACUUAAGUGGAAAACGAUGUGAAGUUACUUAAACAACCAGGAGGUUGGCUUAGAAGCAGCCAUCCUUUAAAGAAAGCGUAAUAGCUCACUGGUCUAGUGAUUUUGCGCGGAAAAUAUAACGGGGCUAAAGUAAGUACCGAAGCUGUAGACUUAGUUUACUAAGUGGUAGGAGAGCGUUCUAUUUGCGUCGAAGGUAUACCGGUAAGGAGUGCUGGAGCGAAUAGAAGUGAGCAUGCAGGCAUGAGUAGCGAUAAUUAAUGUGAGAAUCAUUAACGCCGUAAACCCAAGGUUUCCUACGCGAUGCUCGUCAUCGUAGGGUUAGUCGGGUCCUAAGUCGAGUCCGAAAGGGGUAGACGAUGGCAAAUUGGUUAAUAUUCCAAUACCAACAUUAGUGUGCGAUGGAAGGACGCUUAGGGCUAAGGGGGCUAGCGGAUGGAAGUGCU